AUUGAACGCUGGCGGCAGGCUUAACACAUGCAAGUCGAGCGGGGUGAUGGUGCUUGCACUAUCACUUAGCGGCGGACGGGUGAGUAACGCUUAGGAAUCUGCCUAUUAGUGGGGGACAACAUCUCGAAAGGGAUGCUAAUACCGCAUACGUCCUACGGGAGAAAGCAGGGGAUCACUUGUGACCUUGCGCUAAUAGAUGAGCCUAAGUCGGAUUAGCUAGUUGGUGGGGUAAAGGCCUACCAAGGCGACGAUCUGUAGCGGGUCUGAGAGGAUGAUCCGCCACACUGGGACUGAGACACGGCCCAGACUCCUACGGGAGGCAGCAGUGGGGAAUAUUCGACAAUGGGGGGAACCCUGAUCCAGCCAUGCCGCGUGUGUGAAGAAGGCCUUAUGGUUGUAAAGCACUUUAAGCGAGGAGGAGGCUCUUUUGGUUAAUACCCAAGAUGAGUGGACGUUACUCGCAGAAUAAGCACCGGCUAACUCUGUGCCAGCCGCCGCGGUAA
RNAcentral lists this ribosomal RNA (503 nucleotides) under uncultured bacterium. RNAcentral's name for it is "partial 16S ribosomal RNA". It matches the Rfam family "Bacterial small subunit ribosomal RNA", at positions 30 to 523 of the family's 1533-position model. The record is from RNAcentral.